UGCAAAGGUUCCCUCAGGCUGGUUGGACAUCAGUCGAAGAGUGUAAAGGCAUAAGGGAGCUUGACUGCGAGACCCACAAGUCGAGCAGAGACGAAAGUCGGCCUUAGU
RNAcentral lists this ribosomal RNA (108 nucleotides) under Guillardia theta CCMP2712. RNAcentral's name for it is "pseudoknot of the domain G(G12) of 23S ribosomal RNA". It matches the Rfam family "Bacterial large subunit ribosomal RNA", at positions 2309 to 2416 of the family's 2925-position model. The record is from RNAcentral. Lineage: Eukaryota; Cryptophyceae; Pyrenomonadales; Geminigeraceae.